This 254-nucleotide ribosomal RNA is filed under the name uncultured bacterium. Its description in RNAcentral is "partial 16S ribosomal RNA". It matches the Rfam family "Bacterial small subunit ribosomal RNA", at positions 524 to 776 of the family's 1533-position model. The record is from RNAcentral.
UACGUAGGGGGCUAGCGUUGUCCGGAUUUAUUGGGCGUAAAGAGCUCGUAGGCGGUGUGUCACGUCGGCCGUGAAAACCUGCAGCUUAACUGUGGGCGUGCGGUCGACACGGGCAUCACUGGAGUUCGGCAGGGGAGACUGGAAUUCCUGGUGUAGCGGUGAAAUGCGCAGAUAUCAGGAGGAACACCGGUGGCGAAGGCGGUUCUCUGGGCAUGUUCUGACGCUGAGGAGCGAAAGUGUGGGGAGCGAACAGG